UCCCUGGAGGACAAGUGGUUAGGCCACAGCGCUCUCACCGCUGCGGCCCGGGUUUGAUUCCUGGCCAGGGAA
This 72-nucleotide transfer RNA is filed under the name Pangasianodon gigas (Mekong giant catfish). RNAcentral describes it as "tRNA-Glu". It matches the Rfam family "tRNA". Rfam says of the family: Transfer RNA (tRNA) molecules are approximately 80 nucleotides in length. Their secondary structure includes four short double-helical elements and three loops (D, anti-codon, and T loops). Lineage: Eukaryota; Metazoa; Chordata; Actinopteri; Siluriformes; Pangasiidae. The record is from RNAcentral.